Molecule: ribosomal RNA, 298 nt
Filed under: uncultured bacterium
Lineage: Bacteria
Description: partial 16S ribosomal RNA
Rfam family: Bacterial small subunit ribosomal RNA
Source: RNAcentral
CUAUGCGCCUUGCCAGCCCGCUCAGGUGUGCCAGCAGCCGCGGUAAUACGGAGGAUGCGAGCGUUAUCCGGAUUUAUUGGGUUUAAAGGGUGCGUAGGCGGUCCGUUAAGUCAGCGGUAAAAUUGCGGGGCUCAACCCCGUCGAGCCGUUGAAACUGGCAGACUUGAGUUGGCGAGAAGUACGCGGAAUGCGCGGUGUAGCGGUGAAAUGCAUAGAUAUCGCGCAGAACUCCGAUUGCGAAGGCAGCGUACCGGCGCCAGACUGACGCUGAGGCACGAAAGCGUGGGGAUCGAACAGG